RNAcentral lists this transfer RNA (77 nucleotides) under Chloroflexota bacterium. RNAcentral's name for it is "Chloroflexi bacterium tRNA-Pro". The record is from RNAcentral. RNAcentral also lists the same sequence under 1 other name. Lineage: Bacteria; Bacillati; Chloroflexota.
CGGGGUGUAGCUCAGCUUGGCAGAGCGCGUCGUUCGGGACGACGAGGUCCGCAGUUCAAAUCUGCGCACCCCGACCA